AAACGACUCUCGGCAACGGAUAUCUCGGCUCUCGCAUCGAUGAAGAACGUAGCGAAAUGCGAUACUUGGUGUGAAUUGCAGGAUCCCGUGAACCAUCGAGUCUUUGAACGCAAGUUGCGCCCGAAGCCAUCCGGCCGAGGGCACGCCUGCCUGGGCGUCAC
This 161-nucleotide ribosomal RNA is filed under the name Campylanthus salsoloides. RNAcentral describes it as "5.8S ribosomal RNA". It matches the Rfam family "5.8S ribosomal RNA". Rfam says of the family: 5.8S ribosomal RNA (5.8S rRNA) is a component of the large subunit of the eukaryotic ribosome. It is transcribed by RNA polymerase I as part of the 45S precursor that also contains 18S and 28S rRNA. Functionally, it is thought that 5.8S rRNA may be involved in ribosome translocation. The record is from RNAcentral. RNAcentral also lists the same sequence under 3 other names. Lineage: Eukaryota; Viridiplantae; Streptophyta; Magnoliopsida; Lamiales; Plantaginaceae.